CGCAAGCCUGACGGAGCAAGACCGCGUGGGGGAGGAAGGCUCUUGGGUUGUAAACCCCUUUUCUCAGGGAAGAACCAAAUGACGGUACCUGAGGAAUCAGCCUCGGCUAACUCCGUGCCAGCAGCCGCGGUAAUACGGAGGAGGCAAGCGUUAUCCGGAAUGAUUGGGCGUAAAGCGUUCGUAGGUGGCUAUUCAAGUCUGCUGUCAAAGACAGAAGCUCAACUUCUGAAAGGCAGUGGAAACUGAGUAGCUGGAGUGCGGUAGGGGCAGAGGGAAUUCCCGGUGUAGCGGUGAAAUGCGUAGAGAUCGGGAAGAACACCGGCGGCGAAAGCGCUCUGCUGGGCCGCAACUGACACUGAGGGACGAAAGCUAGGGGAGCG
Molecule: ribosomal RNA, 380 nt
Filed under: uncultured cyanobacterium
Lineage: Bacteria; Bacillati; Cyanobacteriota
Description: bacterial SSU rRNA
Rfam family: Bacterial small subunit ribosomal RNA
Source: RNAcentral